GACGAACGCUGGCGGCGUGCUUAACACAUGCAAGUCGAACGGGGUUAAGGAGCUUGCUUCUUAACUUAGUGGCGAACGGGUGAGUAACGCGUGAGGAACCUGCCUCUCAGUGGGGGACAACAGUUGGAAACGACUGCUAAUACCGCAUAAAACCGUAGUACCGCAUGGUACAUCGGUCAAAGAUUUAUUGCUGAGAGAUGGACUCGCGUCUGAUUAGCUAGUUGGUGAGGUAACGGCUCACCAAGGCGACGAUCAGUAGCCGAACUGAGAGGUUGAUCGGCCACAUUGGGACUGAGACACGGCCCAGACUCCUACGGGAGGCAGCAGUGGGGAAUAUUGCGCAAUGGGGGCAACCCUGACGCAGCAACGCCGCGUUGAGGAUGACGGUUUUCGGAUUGUAAACUCAUGUCGGGUGGGAAGAUAAUGACGGUACCACCGGAGAAAGUCACGGCUAACUACGUG
Molecule: ribosomal RNA, 462 nt
Filed under: uncultured bacterium
Lineage: Bacteria
Description: bacterial SSU rRNA
Rfam family: Bacterial small subunit ribosomal RNA
Source: RNAcentral